GACGAACGCUGGCGGCGUGCCUAAUACAUGCAAGUUGAGCGCUGAAGGUUGGUACUUGUACCAACUGGAUGAGCAGCGAACGGGUGAGUAACGCGUGGGGAAUCUGCCUUUGAGCGGGGGACAACAUUUGGAAACGAAUGCUAAUACCGCAUAAAAACUUUAAACACAAGUUUUAAGUUUGAAAGAUGCAAUUGCAUCACUCAAAGAUGAUCCCGCGUUGUAUUAGCUAGUUGGUGAGGUAAAGGCUCACCAAGGCGAUGAUACAUAGCCGACCUGAGAGGGUGAUCGGCCACAUUGGGAAUGAGACACGGCCCAAACUCCUACGGGAGGCAGCAGUAGGGAAUCUUCGGCAAUAGACGAAAGUCUGACCGAGCAACGCCGCGUGAGUGAAGAAGGGUUUCGGAUCGUAAAACUCUGUUGGUAGAGAAGAACGUUGGUGAGAGUGGAAAGCUCAUCAAGUGACGGUAACUACACAGAAAGGGACGGCUAACUACGUG
Molecule: ribosomal RNA, 497 nt
Filed under: uncultured bacterium
Lineage: Bacteria
Description: partial 16S ribosomal RNA
Rfam family: Bacterial small subunit ribosomal RNA
Source: RNAcentral